RNAcentral lists this ribosomal RNA (489 nucleotides) under uncultured bacterium. RNAcentral describes it as "partial 16S ribosomal RNA". It matches the Rfam family "Bacterial small subunit ribosomal RNA", at positions 28 to 507 of the family's 1533-position model. The record is from RNAcentral.
GACGAACGCUGGCGGCGUGCUUAACACAUGCAAGUCGAACGGAAAGGCCCUGCUUUUGUGGGGUGCUCGAGUGGCGAACGGGUGAGUAUCACGUGAGUAACCUGCCCUUGACUUUGGGGUACCUUCAGUAAACUCGAGCUCUUAUCGGACAUGAGAUCCUGCUGCAUGAGGGGGGUUGGAGAGUUUCGGCGGUUGGGGAUGGACUCGCGGCGUAUCGGUUUGUUGGUGGGGUAGUGGCUUACCAAGGCGUUGACGGGUAGCCGGACUGAGAGGGUGAGCGGCCGCCUUGGGACGGGGACACGGCCCAAAGGGCUACAGGAGGCAGCAGUAGGGAAUCGGCGGCAAUGGGCGAGAGUUUGACCGAGCAGCGCGGAGUGAGUGAAGAAGGUCGUCGGGUGGGAAAACUCGGUUGGUGGAGAAGAACGUUGGUGAGAGUGGAAAGCUCAUCAAGUGACGGUAACUACCAAGAAAGGGCCGGCUAACUACGUG